Molecule: ribosomal RNA, 443 nt
Filed under: uncultured bacterium
Lineage: Bacteria
Description: partial 16S ribosomal RNA
Rfam family: Bacterial small subunit ribosomal RNA
Source: RNAcentral
CCUACGGGAGGCUGCAGUGGGGAAUAUUGGACAAUGGGGGGAACCCUGAUCCAGCGACGCCGCGUGAGUGAAGAAGUAUUUCGGUAUGUAAAGCUCUAUCAGCAGGGAAGAAAGAAAUGACGGUACCUGACUAAGAAGCCCCGGCUAACUACGUGCCAGCAGCCGCGGUAAUACGUAGGGGGCAAGCGUUAUCCGGAUUUACUGGGUGUAAAGGGAGCGUAGACGGCGAUGCAAGUCUGAAGUGAAAGGCGGGGGCGCAACCCCCGGACUGCUUUGGAAACUGUAUGGCUGGAGUGCAGGAGAGGUAAGUGGAAUUCCUAGUGUAGCGGUGAAAUGCGUAGAUAUUAGGAGGAACACCAGUGGCGAAGGCGGCUUACUGGACUGUAACUGACGUUGAGGCUCGAAAGCGUGGGGAGCAAACAGGAUUAGAUACCCCUGUAGUC